GACCAGACUUGUGCCCGUCGAAUCAGCCGCCGCUCGUCGGCGGCGCACUUCGGCGGGCUCAGGCCAGCAUCAGUUCGCUGCAGGGGGAGAAAGGCGAUGGGAAUGUGGCUCUUCGGAGUGUUAUAGCCCGCCGCGCAAUACCCCUCGGCGGACUGAGGACCGCGCAUCUGCAAGGAUGCUGGCGUAAUGGUCGUCAGCGACCCGUCUUGA
This 210-nucleotide ribosomal RNA is filed under the name Scedosporium boydii. RNAcentral's name for it is "partial 28S rRNA". Lineage: Eukaryota; Fungi; Ascomycota; Sordariomycetes; Microascales; Microascaceae. The record is from RNAcentral.